RNAcentral lists this ribosomal RNA (251 nucleotides) under uncultured bacterium. Its description in RNAcentral is "partial 16S ribosomal RNA". It matches the Rfam family "Bacterial small subunit ribosomal RNA", at positions 524 to 776 of the family's 1533-position model. The record is from RNAcentral.
UACAUAGGUGGCGAACGUUAUCCGGAUUUAUUGGGCGUAAAGGGUGCGUAGGUGGUUGAAUAAGUUACUGGUGGUAAAUCAGAGCUCAACUCUGUGGAAGCUGGUAAUACUAUUGAACUAGAGGGUCGGAGAGGUUAACGGAAUUCUAUGUGUAGCGGUAAAAUGCGUAUAUAUAGAGGAACACCAAUGGCGAAGGCAGCUCGCUGGGACGGUACUGACGCUGAGGCGCGAAAGCGUGGGGAGCAAACAGG